GUGUACAUGUUCGUCAGGAGACAGGUUGCGGGGGAUAAGCUUCGUAGUCAAAAGGGAAACAACCCAGACCGACAGCUAAGGUCCCAAAAUAUAAGUUAAGUGAUAAAGGAUGUGAAAUUACUUAGACAGCUAGGAGGUUGGCUUAGAAGCAGCCAUUCCUUUAAAGAGUGCGUAAUAGCUCACUAGUCAAGUGAUUUUGCGCCGAUAAUUUCCGGGACUAUUAAACUUAUUACCGAAGCUUCGGAUCCCCGAUCUGAUCGGGGGUGGUAGGAGAGCGUUCCAUUAACCGCAGAAGGUUGACCCGCGAGGGCAGCUGGAGGACAUGGAAAUGAGAAUGCAGGCACGAGUAACGAUAAUCCCGGUGAAAUUCCGGGACGCCGAAAGCCUAAGGUUUCCUGAGUAAAGCAACUCUGCUCAGGGUUAGUCGGCCCCUAAGGUGAGGCCGAAAGGCGUAAUCGAUGGGAAACAGGCAAAUAUUCCUGUACCGGUUCCAAACCGUUAUCAACUAUGGGGUGGUGCAGAAGUGAAAGGUCAUCCGUCUGACGAAAUAGACGGUUUAAGCGUGUAGGGAGUUUUUCCAGGCAAAUCCGGAAAAACAUUAUCCUGAGGCGUGAUGACGAGUUCUUUGAACAUAAAGUGACCCUAAUCAUACUGACAAGAAAAACCUCUAUGUGAGGUUUGGAGUCGACCGUACCUCAAACCGACACAGGUAGGCGAGAUGAGAAUUCUAAGGCGUUUGGAUUAACUCAGGUUAAGGAACUCGGCAAAUUAACCUCGUAACUUCGGGAGAAGAGGUGCCUUGAGUAGGUGAAGUCAUUUACUGACGGAGCCCAAAAAGGCUGCAAGAACAAGGCCCAAACGACUGUUUAUCAAAAACACAGGUCUCUGCUAAGUCGUAAGACGAUGUAUAGGGACUGACACCUGCCCGGUGCCGGAAGGUUAAGAGGAGGGGUCAUCUGUUCGCUUUGGCGGACAGUGAAGCUCUAAAUUGAAGCCCCGGUAAACGGCGGCCGUAACUAUAACGGUCCUAAGGUAGCGAAAUUCCUUGUCGGGUAAGUUCCGACCUGCACGAAUGGUGCAACGAUUUGGGCACUGUCUCAACCUGAGAUCCAGUGAAACUGUAGCGUCGGUGAAGAUGCCGGCUACCCGCGGCAGGACGGGAAGACCCCGUGAACCUUUACUACAACUUGGCAUUGGGUUUUGGUUUCAUAUGUAGAGGAUAGGUGGGAGACUAUGAAGCGUGGACGCCAGUCUGCGUGGAGUCAUCCUUGGAAUACCACCCUUAUGUUGCUAGAAUUCUAACGUGAGCCCGUGAAUCCGGGUUGCGAACAGUGUCUGGUGGGUAGUUUGACUGGGGCGGUCGCCUCCCAAAAUGUAACGGAGGCGCUCAAAGGUUCUCUCAGCACGGUUGGUAAUCGUGCGUCGAGUGCAAAGGCAAAAGAGAGCUUAACUGCGAGUCCGACGGGACGAGCAGAUGGGAAACCAGGACUUAGUGAUCCGGCGGUUGCGAAUGGAAGCGCCGUCGCUCAACGGAUAAAAGGUACUCCGGGGAUAACAGGCUUAUCUCCCCCAAGAGUUCACAUCGACGGGGAGGUUUGGCACCUCGAUGUCGGCUCGUCGCAUCCUGGGGCUGAAGAAGGUCCCAAGGG
This 1649-nucleotide ribosomal RNA is filed under the name anaerobic digester metagenome. RNAcentral's name for it is "bacterial LSU rRNA". It matches the Rfam family "Bacterial large subunit ribosomal RNA", at positions 964 to 2571 of the family's 2925-position model. The record is from RNAcentral.